RNAcentral lists this ribosomal RNA (253 nucleotides) under uncultured bacterium. RNAcentral describes it as "partial 16S ribosomal RNA". It matches the Rfam family "Bacterial small subunit ribosomal RNA", at positions 524 to 776 of the family's 1533-position model. The record is from RNAcentral.
UACAGAGGGUGCAAGCGUUGUUCGGAAUUAUUGGGCGUAAAGCGCGUGUAGGCGGCUUUGCAAGUCGGGUGUGAAAGCCCUCAGCUCAACUGAGGAAGUGCGCCCGAAACUGCAGAGCUUGAGUACCGGAGAGGAUGGCGGAAUUCCCCAAGUAGAGGUGAAAUUCGUAGAUAUGGGGAGGAACACCGGUGGCGAAGGCGGGUUGCUGGGCUGAUACUGACGCUGAUGCGCGAAGGCCAGGGGAGCAAACGGG